GACAUAGGUGGCGAACGUUAUCCGGAUUUAUUGGGCGUAAAGGAUGCGUAGAUGGUGGAAUAAGUUAUUGGUCGAGGUCAAGCUCAACUUGGCGGAAGCUGAUAAUACUGUUCUACUUGAGGGCAGGAGAGGUUGGCGGAAUUCUGUGUGGAGCGGUGAAAUGCGUUGAUCUACAGAGGAACACCAAAAAGGGCGAAGGCAGCCAACUAUUCUGAUCCUGACAUUGAGGCAUGAAAGCGUGGGGAGCAAACCGG
This 254-nucleotide ribosomal RNA is filed under the name uncultured bacterium. RNAcentral's name for it is "partial 16S ribosomal RNA". It matches the Rfam family "Bacterial small subunit ribosomal RNA", at positions 524 to 776 of the family's 1533-position model. The record is from RNAcentral.